GACGAACGCUGGCGGCGUGCUUAACACAUGCAAGUCGAACGAAAAUACCAAGCUUGCUUGGUUGAUUAGUGGCGAACGGGUGAGUAACACGUGAGUAACCUGCCCCUUACUUUCCUGGAUAACUGCUCGAAAGGGUAGCUAAUACGGGAUAUUCUGACCAGCCUGCAUGGGUUGGUUUGGAAAGGUUGUUUUUCUGGUAAGGGAUGGGCUCGCGGCCUAUCAGCUUGUUGGUGGGGUGAUGGCCUACCAAGGCUUUGACGGGUAGCCGGCCUGAGAGGGUGGACGGUCACACUGGGACUGAGAUACGGCCCAGACUCCUACGGGAGGCAGCAGUGGGGAAUAUUGCACAAUGGGGGCAAGCCUGAUGCAGCGACGCCGCGUGAGGGAUGAAGGCCUUCGGGUUGUAAACCUCUUUCGUCAGGGAACAAGGCACUGCUUUUGUGGUGGUGUUGAGGGUACCUGGAUAAGAAGCGCCGGCUAACUACGUG
RNAcentral lists this ribosomal RNA (488 nucleotides) under uncultured bacterium. RNAcentral's name for it is "partial 16S ribosomal RNA". It matches the Rfam family "Bacterial small subunit ribosomal RNA", at positions 28 to 507 of the family's 1533-position model. The record is from RNAcentral.